This 497-nucleotide ribosomal RNA is filed under the name uncultured bacterium. RNAcentral's name for it is "partial 16S ribosomal RNA". It matches the Rfam family "Bacterial small subunit ribosomal RNA", at positions 28 to 507 of the family's 1533-position model. The record is from RNAcentral.
GACGAACGCUGGCGGCGUGCCUAAUACAUGCAAGUUGAGCGCUGAAGGUCGGUGCUUGUACCAACUGGAUGAGCAGCGAACGGGUGAGUAACGCGUGGGGAAUCUGCCUUUGAGCGGGGGACAACAUUUGGAAACGAAUGCUAAUACCGCAUAAAAACUUUAAACACAAGUUUUAAGUUUGAAAGAUGCAAUUGCAUCACUCAAAGAUGAUCCCGCGUUGUAUUAGCUAGUUGGUGAGGUAAAGGCUCACCAAGGCGAUGAUACAUAGCCGACCUGAGAGGGUGAUCGGCCACAUUGGGACUGAGACACGGCCCAAACUCCUACGGGAGGCAGCAGUAGGGAAUCUUCGGCAAUGGACGAAAGUCUGACCGAGCAACGCCGCGUGAGUGAAGAAGGUUUUCGGAUCGUAAAACUCUGUUGGUAGAGAAGAACGUUGGUGAGAGUGGAAAGCUCAUCAAGUGACGGUAACUACCCAGAAAGGGACGGCUAACUACGUG